Molecule: ribosomal RNA, 497 nt
Filed under: uncultured bacterium
Lineage: Bacteria
Description: partial 16S ribosomal RNA
Rfam family: Bacterial small subunit ribosomal RNA
Source: RNAcentral
GAUGAACGCUGGCGGCGUGCCUAAUACAUGCAAGUCGAGCGAACAGACGAGGAGCUUGCUCCUCUGACGUUAGCGGCGGACGGGUGAGUAACACGUGGAUAACCUACCUAUAAGACUGGGAUAACUUCGGGAAACCGGAGCUAAUACCGGAUAAUAUAUUGAACCGCAUGGUUCAAUAGUGAAAGACGGUUUUGCUGUCACUUAUAGAUGGAUCCGCGCCGCAUUAGCUAGUUGGUAAGGUAACGGCUUACCAAGGCAACGAUUCGUAGCCGACCUGAGAGGGUGAUCGGCCACCCUGGAACUGAGACACGGCCCAGACUCCUACGGGAGGCAGCAGUAGGGAAUCUUCCGCAAUGGGCGAAAGCCUGACGGAGCAACGCCGCGUGAGUGAUGAAGGUCUUCGGAUCGUAAAGCUCUGUUAUUAGGGAAGAACAAAUGUGUAAGUAACUAUGCACGUCUUGACGGUACCUAAUCAGAAAGCCACGGCUAACUACGUG